RNAcentral lists this ribosomal RNA (587 nucleotides) under Salinibacterium sp. RNAcentral's name for it is "bacterial SSU rRNA". It matches the Rfam family "Bacterial small subunit ribosomal RNA", at positions 118 to 719 of the family's 1533-position model. The record is from RNAcentral. Lineage: Bacteria; Bacillati; Actinomycetota; Actinomycetes; Micrococcales; Microbacteriaceae.
UGAGUAACCUGCCCUUGACUCUGGGAUAAGCGUUGGAAACGACGUCUAAUACCGGAUACGACCCUCGGAGGCAUCUCCUGGGGGUGGAAAGAAUUUCGGUCAAGGAUGGACUCGCGGCCUAUCAGCUUGUUGGUGAGGUAAUGGCUCACCAAGGCGACGACGGGUAGCCGGCCUGAGAGGGUGACCGGCCACACUGGGACUGAGACACGGCCCAGACUCCUACGGGAGGCAGCAGUGGGGAAUAUUGCACAAUGGGCGCAAGCCUGAUGCAGCAACGCCGCGUGAGGGAUGACGGCCUUCGGGUUGUAAACCUCUUUUAGUAGGGAAGAAGCGCAAGUGACGGUACCUGCAGAAAAAGCACCGGCUAACUACGUGCCAGCAGCCGCGGUAAUACGUAGGGUGCAAGCGUUGUCCGGAAUUAUUGGGCGUAAAGAGCUCGUAGGCGGUUUGUCGCGUCUGCUGUGAAAUCUGGGGGCUCAACCCCCAGCCUGCAGUGGGUACGGGCAGACUAGAGUGCGGUAGGGGAGAUUGGAAUUCCUGGUGUAGCGGUGGAAUGCGCAGAUAUCAGGAGGAACACCGAUGGCGAA